This 647-nucleotide ribosomal RNA is filed under the name Enterococcus sp. UepopsL400.3-106. Its description in RNAcentral is "bacterial SSU rRNA". It matches the Rfam family "Bacterial small subunit ribosomal RNA", at positions 24 to 642 of the family's 1533-position model. The record is from RNAcentral. Lineage: Bacteria; Bacillati; Bacillota; Bacilli; Lactobacillales; Enterococcaceae.
UCAGGACGAACGCUGGCGGCGUGCCUAAUACAUGCAAGUCGAACGCUUCUUUUUCCACCGGAGCUUGCUCCACCGGAAAAAGAGGAGUGGCGAACGGGUGAGUAACACGUGGGUAACCUGCCCAUCAGAAGGGGAUAACACUUGGAAACAGGUGCUAAUACCGUAUAACAAUCGAAACCGCAUGGUUUUGAUUUGAAAGGCGCUUUCGGGUGUCGCUGAUGGAUGGACCCGCGGUGCAUUAGCUAGUUGGUGAGGUAACGGCUCACCAAGGCCACGAUGCAUAGCCGACCUGAGAGGGUGAUCGGCCACAUUGGGACUGAGACACGGCCCAAACUCCUACGGGAGGCAGCAGUAGGGAAUCUUCGGCAAUGGACGAAAGUCUGACCGAGCAACGCCGCGUGAGUGAAGAAGGUUUUCGGAUCGUAAAACUCUGUUGUUAGAGAAGAACAAGGAUGAGAGUAACUGUUCAUCCCUUGACGGUAUCUAACCAGAAAGCCACGGCUAACUACGUGCCAGCAGCCGCGGUAAUACGUAGGUGGCAAGCGUUGUCCGGAUUUAUUGGGCGUAAAGCGAGCGCAGGCGGUUUCUUAAGUCUGAUGUGAAAGCCCCCGGCUCAACCGGGGAGGGUCAUUGGAAACUGGGAGACU